GAUGAACGCUGGCGGCGUGCCUAAUACAUGCAAGUCGAGCGAACGGUCGAGAAGCUUGCUUCUCUGAUGUUAGCGGCGGACGGGUGAGUAACACGUGGAUAACCUACCUAUAAGACUGGGAUAACGUCGGGAAACCGGAGCUAAUACCGGAUAAUAUUUUGAACCGCAUGGUUCAAAAGUGAAAGACGGUCUUGCUGUCACUUAUAGAUGGAUCCGCGCUGCAUUAGCUAGUUGGUAAGGUAACGGCUUACCAAGGCAACGAUGCAUAUCCGACCUGAGAGGGUGUUCGGCCACACUAGAGAUGAGACACGGUCCAGACUCCUACGGGAGGCAGCAGUAGGGAAUCUUCCGCAAUGGGCGAAAGCCUGCCGGAGCAACGCCGCGUGAGUGAUGAAGGUCUUCGGCUCGUAAAACUCUGUUAUUAGGGAAGAACAUAUGUGUAAGUACCUGUUCACAUCUUGACGGUACCUAAUCAGAAAGCCACGGCUAACUACGUG
RNAcentral lists this ribosomal RNA (497 nucleotides) under uncultured bacterium. Its description in RNAcentral is "partial 16S ribosomal RNA". It matches the Rfam family "Bacterial small subunit ribosomal RNA", at positions 28 to 507 of the family's 1533-position model. The record is from RNAcentral.